This 253-nucleotide ribosomal RNA is filed under the name uncultured bacterium. RNAcentral's name for it is "partial 16S ribosomal RNA". It matches the Rfam family "Bacterial small subunit ribosomal RNA", at positions 524 to 776 of the family's 1533-position model. The record is from RNAcentral.
UACGGAGGGUGCAAACGUUGCUCGGAAUCAUUGGGCGUAAAGCGCAUGUAGGCGGCUUGUUAAGUCGGGUGUGAAAGCCCAGGGCUCAACCCUGGAAGUGCAUUCGAAACUGGCGAGCUUGAAUAUGGACGAGGGUCGCGGAAUUCCCGGUGUAGAGGUGAAAUUCGUAGAUAUCGGGAGGAACACCAGUGGCGAAGGCGGCGACCUGGGCCAAUAUUGACGCUAAGAUGCGAAAGCGUGGGGAGCAAACAGG